RNAcentral lists this long non-coding RNA (1433 nucleotides) under Homo sapiens (human). RNAcentral's name for it is "HSALNT0314250". Lineage: Eukaryota; Metazoa; Chordata; Mammalia; Primates; Hominidae. The record is from RNAcentral.
AAUUCCAAAGAUCAAUAAAGAUCAAGAGGCCCUCUGGGCAAAGGGCCUGUUCAGUGUGGACUUGAUCACAGGCUGCUGGCCAGCGGGGAAGAUGGAAGUCGCCGGCUUGACUGAGACAUUCACCCCAGCCUUAGAUUUAGGGCAGGACCCUCUCACUGUGUGGUCACCCUUUAUUUUCUCAGCUCUUAUUUAAAAAGAAGAAGAAAAAAAGAAUGUCUGGACAACAGCUAAGGCAGGCAUCCAGAAAUAGGAACACUUUUCUUAGAACACAGCCCAGAUGCAAACAUCAGGAGCAGACACUGCCCAGAUGGCGGCUUUACCCCAGCUGGACUCCUCUGAGGCUUUGGUGGUGGACAGCCCUGUGCCGCAAGCUGGAGUAAGCCGAUUCUCCCCAUGGGGGAAGCAGGCCUGGAAAUGUAGCAGUGUGCCUCAUGGAAAUGUAGCAGUGUGCCUCAUGGAAAUGUAGCAGUGUGCCUCAUGGAAAUGUAGCAGUGUGCCUCAUGGAGCUGACCUUCCCAUGUAACCUAGCAAGCCCUUGAAAAGGAGAGAAAAAAGUAAUGGGGAAAGGUAGCCUCCCUGUGGUAGUUUUAAAAUGUCUGCAAAUUCUUCUCUCCAAGAGGUGGAACUGAAUUUACCUCCCCUUGAGUACGGGCUGUACUUAGUGACUCACUUCUAACAAAGUCGGAAGUGAUGGCGUGUGGCUUCCAAGGGUAGGUCUUAAAAGACACUGCAAGCUCUGACCUGGGCUCCCUCUUCGAUCACUAGCUCUGGGGAAGCCAGCUGCCAUGCUAAAAAAGACACUCAAGCAGCCCCACGGAGAGGUCCACAACGCAAGGAGCUGAGUCCUCCCACCAACAGCCAGUGAGGAGCCGAGGCCUCCCACCUACAACCAGUGAGGAGCUGAGGCCUCCUGCCACAGUCACGGGAGUGAGCCUUGGAAGCAGAUCCUCCAGUGUCCGUCAGGCCUUCAGAAACUGCAGCCCCUGCUGACAUCUUGACUGAAACUUCAAAAUCAUCCAGCUAAGCUGCUUCCAAAUUCCCAGCUGGGAGAUGAUAAAUGUUUCAAGCUGCUAAGUUUCAGGGUAAUUUGUUACACAGCAACAGAUAACAAAUGCAUUCCCCCUAUCCCCCUGCUUUUCCAACUUUGAUCCAUUCCUCCUUCCUUCAUACUCACCAUACACCACAUAAUGGGGGAACAAGGAUGUAACAAGACAGGAUUCUGGGGAACUGAGCUCAAAAGGGAAAGUUCUAAUGAACAUUUGCUAUACUGAAGUGGAAGAAGCAAAAGCUUGUGAGCAGCACUGAGCCCGCACUUGCUUUACCUGGAAGUCCAAGCCCCACAUCAGUUUGUGCUUCUUCUGGCUGCCCAGACCCAGGUUAGGGGAGCUAGGAAUUUGGAGGGAAGGGUUAAGGGAGGCUGGCUGGACAUGCAG